UACGUAGGUGGCAAGCGUUAUCCGGAUUUAUUGGGCGUAAAGGGAACGCAGGCGGUCUUUUAAGUCUGAUGUGAAAGCCUUCGGCUUAACCGGAGUAGUGCAUUGGAAACUGGGAGACUUGAGUGCAGAAGAGGAGAGUGGAACUCCAUGUGUAGCGGUGAAAUGCGUAGAUAUAUGGAAGAACACCAGUGGCGAAAGCGGCUCUCUGGUCUGUAACUGACGCUGAGGUUCGAAAGCGUGGGGAGCAAAUAGG
Molecule: ribosomal RNA, 253 nt
Filed under: uncultured bacterium
Lineage: Bacteria
Description: partial 16S ribosomal RNA
Rfam family: Bacterial small subunit ribosomal RNA
Source: RNAcentral